GCCUGAGUGGCUCAGUCGGUGAAGCGUCUGACUUCAGCUCAGGUCAUAAUCUCCCUGUUUGUGGGUUUGAUCCCCACAUUGGGCU
Molecule: transfer RNA, 85 nt
Filed under: Felis catus (domestic cat)
Lineage: Eukaryota; Metazoa; Chordata; Mammalia; Carnivora; Felidae
Rfam family: tRNA
About the family: Transfer RNA (tRNA) molecules are approximately 80 nucleotides in length. Their secondary structure includes four short double-helical elements and three loops (D, anti-codon, and T loops).
Source: Rfam by way of RNAcentral